GUACUAAUAAAGGGUGAAAUCGAUUUUUUAGUGGGUAGAUUGUUUGGGGGUGAGCUAAUUCUGAAGCUGUUAAGGUGAAGGUAUGGACCAGGAUUAGAUACCCUGUUACUCUUUACUUUAAAUGAAAAUACCUGGGUAUUAAACAGUUAUUGUCUUGAAACUCAAAGGAUUUGGCGGUAAUCUAGUCUAUUUAGAGGAACCUGUCCUGUAAUCGAUAAACCACGCAGAAUCUUACCUUAUUUUGUAAAUUCAGUUUGUAUACCGUCAUUAUUAGGUAACUCUAAAAAGAAUCAGUUACUGUAAUAAGUUUUUCUUAGUAUAUUAGAUCAAGGUGCAGCUAAUAGUAAGGUAGAGAUGGGUUACAAUAUGAUAGAUAUAAACGGAUUAAAAAGUUAUAGCUUUUUAUUAAGGUGGAUUUAAUAGUAGGGAAGUUUUAAUAAGGCUUUUCGAUUCUAGCUCUAGGUUAUGUACACAUCGCCCGUCGCUCUCGUUAAUUAAAGC
This 501-nucleotide ribosomal RNA is filed under the name Aristeus virilis. Its description in RNAcentral is "partial 12S ribosomal RNA". It matches the Rfam family "Bacterial small subunit ribosomal RNA", at positions 663 to 1416 of the family's 1533-position model. The record is from RNAcentral. Lineage: Eukaryota; Metazoa; Arthropoda; Malacostraca; Decapoda; Aristeidae.